CUGCACUGUCAAUGUGACUGACACCAUCACAUAGCCCCUGAGAGACCGCAUGGAGAUGAUCAACAUGUAUGGAUACGUGGCCCAGGAGAAACUAGCCAUCGCUGAGGUAGCAUAGUGGUUAGAGCGUUAGGCCAGUAACCGAAAGGAGAAUGUGGCCAUGACGGGAGAGGUGUCCCUGACCAGAAAGAUCCUGCCUGUGGGAGGCAUCAAGGAGAAGACUAAUUGCAGUGAAAACCAUCACUCCCCGAUCAGUCAACAAUCAAUCAUCAAUCAGAAGACACACCUCCUCCUAUUUCCUACCCUAUCACAGUUCCUUCCCAUGGUUUAAAAACCCCAUCAUUUGUUUGCUCUGGAGCAAUCUCUAGCUCAAUCUCUAGCUCAAUCUCUCGCUCAAUCUCUCUGUAAAUGCCAUGUCUGUAGGUCUCUGUGUUUCACUCUCGCUUUGUGUCGUAACCUCUCUUUUGUUUAAGCACCUCCAUAGCACUUUGUCAUCACCUGUGAGUAUUGUUUUUGGUUAUGGUGUUUGUUUGUUGCUGGUGGGAAAAGGGGGAAACCAAGACAAGUCGCCCAUGGGCAUACACUACCCGUAGGUGAACUUUGUUAAACACACUAGUUAGAACUGGGCGGACCACCCACUGUAUUUUUGGUUAGUUAGUUAGCUGUUAUUAAAGUAGGCUAGUCUAGCUUAGGGGUGUUUUGGAUGCUUAUUGUUUCUUUCCUUGGGUCCAGCUCAGCCCCUUUUCCUGCUCCCCCCAUUACCGUGUGUUUAUAAAUAAACCUAGAGUUUGACGGUA
Long non-coding RNA from Oncorhynchus nerka (sockeye salmon), 794 nucleotides. RefSeq lists it as uncharacterized. Lineage: Eukaryota; Metazoa; Chordata; Actinopteri; Salmoniformes; Salmonidae. The record is from RefSeq and is a predicted model, not a curated record. The transcript is spliced from 3 exons.